UGGGGAAUCUUGCGCAAUGGGCGAAAGCCUGACGCAGCCAUGACGCGUGAAUGAUGAAGGUCUUAGGAUUGUAAAAUUCUUUCACCGGGGACGAUAAUGACGGUACCCGGAGAAGAAGCCCCGGCUAACUUCGUGCCAGCAGCCGCGGUAAUACGAAGGGGGCUAGCGUUGCUCGGAAUUACUGGGCGUAAAGGGCGCGUAGGCGGAUCGUUAAGUCAGAGGUGAAAUCCCAGGGCUCAACCCUGGAACUGCCUUUGAUACUGGCGAUCUUGAGUAUGAGAGAGGUAUGUGGAACUCCGAGUGUAGAGGUGAAAUUCGUAGAUAUUCGGAAGAACACCAGUGGCGAAGGCGACAUACUGGCUCAUUACUGACGCUGAGGCGCGAAAGCGUGGGGAGCAAACAGG
Molecule: ribosomal RNA, 404 nt
Filed under: bacterium
Lineage: Bacteria
Description: partial 16S ribosomal RNA
Rfam family: Bacterial small subunit ribosomal RNA
Source: RNAcentral